AGGGUUCGAUUCUGGCUCAGAUUGAACGCUGGCGGCAUGCCUAAUACAUGCAAGUCGAACGGAAACGAUGGAAGCUUGCUUCCAGGCGUCGAGUGGCGGACGGGUGAGUAAUACUUAGGAAUCUGCCUAUUAGUGGGGGACAACUCGAGGAAACUCGAGCUAAUACCGCAUACGCCCUACGGGGGAAAGCGGGGGAUCUUUCGGGACCUCGCGCUAAUAGAUGAGCCUAAGCCGGAUUAGCUUGUUGGUGGGGUAAUGGCCUACCAAGGCGACGAUCCGUAGCUGGUCUGAGAGGAUGAUCAGCCACACUGGGACUGAGACACGGCCCAGACUCCUACGGGAGGCAGCAGUAGGGAAUAUUGCACAAUGGGCGAAAGCCUGAUGCAGCAAUGCCGCGUGUGUGAAGAAGGCCUGAGGGUUGUAAAGCACUUUCAAUAGUGAAGAAAAGCACAGGGUUAAUAACCUUGUGUGUUGACGUUAACUAUACAAGAAGCACCGGCUAACUCCGUGCCAGCAGCCGCGGUAAUA
Molecule: ribosomal RNA, 528 nt
Filed under: uncultured bacterium
Lineage: Bacteria
Description: bacterial SSU rRNA
Rfam family: Bacterial small subunit ribosomal RNA
Source: RNAcentral